UACGGAGGGUGCAAGCGUUAUCCGGAUUCACUGGGUUUAAAGGGUGCGUAGGUGGGCAAGUAAGUCAGUGGUGAAAUCCCCGGGCUCAACCUGGGAAUGGCGAUGGAUACUGGCGAGCUAGAGUGAGGUAGAGGAGAGUGGAAUUCCCGGUGUAGCAGUGAAAUGCGUAGAGAUCGGGAGGAACAUCAGUUGCGAAGGCGGCUCUCUGGACCAUCACUGACACUGAGGCACGAAAGCGUGGGGAGCAAACAGG
RNAcentral lists this ribosomal RNA (253 nucleotides) under uncultured bacterium. RNAcentral describes it as "partial 16S ribosomal RNA". It matches the Rfam family "Bacterial small subunit ribosomal RNA", at positions 524 to 776 of the family's 1533-position model. The record is from RNAcentral.